RNAcentral lists this ribosomal RNA (482 nucleotides) under uncultured bacterium. RNAcentral describes it as "partial 16S ribosomal RNA". It matches the Rfam family "Bacterial small subunit ribosomal RNA", at positions 28 to 523 of the family's 1533-position model. The record is from RNAcentral.
AAUGAACGUUGGCGGCGUGGAUUAGGCAUGCAAGUCGAGCGAGAACCGUAGCAAUACGGGGACAGCGGCGAAAGGGACAGUAAUGUGUAGGUACCUACCCCUGGGUUCGGGAUAGCUGCGGGAAACUGCAGGUAAUACCGAAUAAUGUCUCCGGACCAAAGGUGUGAUUCCACCUGGGGAGGGGCCUGCAUCCUAUUAGCUUGUUGGCGGGGUAACGGCCCACCAAGGCAACGAUGGGUAGCGGGUGUGAGAGCACGACCCGCGUCAGUGGGACUGAGAUACGGCGCAGACACGUGCGGGUGGCUGCAGGCGGGGAUCUUCGGCAAUGGGCGAAAGCCGGACCGAGCGACGCCGCGUGCGGGAUGAAGGCCUUCGGGUUGUAAACCGCUGUCGUUGGGGAGGAAGUGCAGGGGGGUUCUCCCCUCUGUUUGGCCUAUCCAAGGAGGAGGUACGGGCUAAGUUCGUGCCAGCCGCCGCUGUAA